AGAUUGAACGCUGGCGGCAUGCCUUACACAUGCAAGUCGAACGGCAGCACGGGAGCAAUCCUGGUGGCGAGUGGCGAACGGGUGAGUAAUAUAUCGGAACGUGCCCAGUCGUGGGGGAUAACGUAGAGAAAUUUACGCUAAUACCGCAUACGAUCCAAGGAUGAAAGCGGGGGACCGUAAGGCCUCGCGCGACUGGAGCGGCUGAUAUCAGAUUAGCUUGUUGGUGAGGUAAAAGCUCACCAAGGCGACGAUCUGUAGCUGGUUUGAGAGAACGACCAGCCACACUGGGACUGAGACACGGCCCAGACUCCUACGGGAGCAGCAGUGGGAAUUUGGACAAGUGGCGAAAGCCUGAUCCAGCAAUGCCGCGUGCAGGAAGAAGGCCUUCGGUUGUAAACUGUCUUUGUACGGAGACGAAAAGGUCU
This 425-nucleotide ribosomal RNA is filed under the name uncultured soil bacterium. Its description in RNAcentral is "bacterial SSU rRNA". It matches the Rfam family "Bacterial small subunit ribosomal RNA", at positions 26 to 456 of the family's 1533-position model. The record is from RNAcentral.